Molecule: ribosomal RNA, 253 nt
Filed under: uncultured bacterium
Lineage: Bacteria
Description: partial 16S ribosomal RNA
Rfam family: Bacterial small subunit ribosomal RNA
Source: RNAcentral
UCCGUAGGGGGCUAGCGUUGUCCGGAUUUAUUGGGCGUAAAGAGCGUGUAGGCGGCCAGGUAGGUCUGGUGUGAAAACUCGAGGCUUAACCUCGAGAUGUCAUCGGAAACCAUUUGGCUAGAGUCCGGAAGAGGAGAGUGGAAUUCCUGGUGUAGCGGUGAAAUGCGCAGAUAUCAGGAAGAACACCAAUGGCGAAAGCAGCUCUCUGGGACGGUACUGACGCUGAGACGCGAAAGCGUGGGGAGCGAACAGG